RNAcentral lists this ribosomal RNA (466 nucleotides) under uncultured bacterium. RNAcentral describes it as "partial 16S ribosomal RNA". It matches the Rfam family "Bacterial small subunit ribosomal RNA", at positions 28 to 507 of the family's 1533-position model. The record is from RNAcentral.
GAUGAACGCUGGCGGCGUGCUUAACACAUGCAAGUCGAACGAUGAAGCCCAGCUUGCUGGGUGGAUUAGUGGCGAACGGGUGAGUAACACGUGAGUAACCUGCCCUUAACUCUGGGAUAAGCCUGGUAAACUGGGUCUAAUACCGGAUAGGAGCGUCCACCGCAUGGUGGGUGUUGGAAAGAUUUAUCGUUUUUGGCUGGCCUCGCGGCCUAUCCGCUUGUUGGUGAGGUAAUGGCUCACCAAGGCGACGACGGGUAGCCGGCCUGAGAGGGUGACCGGCCACACUGGGACUGAGACACGGACCAGACUCCUACGGGAGGCAGCAGUGGGGAAUAUUGCACAAUGGGCGCAAGCCUGAUGCAGCGACGCCGCGUGAGGGAUGACGGCCUUCGGGUUGUAAACCUCUUUCAGUAGGGAAGAAGCGAAAGUGACGGUACCUGCAGAAGAAGCACCGGCUAACUACGUG